Molecule: non-coding RNA, 154 nt
Filed under: Pseudomonadales bacterium
Lineage: Bacteria; Pseudomonadati; Pseudomonadota; Gammaproteobacteria; Pseudomonadales
Source: RNAcentral
CCUGUGCUGCCCCCGCAACGGUAAGCGAGUGCGGAUUUGCCAGUAUGCCACUGUGAGCGAUCCCCCCCAGGAUAUAUGGGAAGGGGGAUCUUAAUGGGAAGGCGGCAAAUCAAGACUUGCGAGCCCGGAGACCGGCCUGGAAGCAAAAGGAACA